GAUCCACACUCUGGGCCUUCUGGAGGUGCCCCCAUCCAAAUGCCCACAACCCAUCAGAUACACAGCAAGCUGGCCAGAUUGGUAACCUCAAGACCCCGUUCCUGGGCCACCGCCUCCAGGAAUGAGUGGCACACAAACAGCCCUCACCUUCUGUCAAAGGCCAGGUAGGCCCUGAGAUAGCAGAGCUUUUUAAGUCUAUCUGGUCUGCUCCUCUUCUCUUUCUCUCCUCCAGGUCGACUGGCAUGCCCCACCCCAUUUACCAUCCUAAGACCCCCUAAUUUGAGCUGAAACUGACGAACUCUAGGGAUCAUCUCUGCGCUGGGCAAGACGGUGCCACCUCCUUGAUCCAUCCGAAGGGCAAAGCUCCGGAGCCAGCCGACCCCAAAUGGCUUCUCAACAGGUGGCGAGGAUUCCAGGAACGCACAAGUCCCCGCAGGAUCCCUCGGAGAACCGCUUCCAGUCGCACGCCAGCAAGAGCACGCCCCCUUCCCCAUCCCCGCACGCCGGAGGCCAGCGCUCCCGCGGGCCUCGGAGACUAGACCGCGCGCGGCCCACACUGCGACUCCGGGAGGAGGGAUACAUAGCAAGACUGCCCCAGGACGACCCUGGCCACCCUUCUUGGUACACUUCCUUCCUGUUCCAGGCCCCUAGGUCACUCCCAAAGGUCUGCGGAAUGGCGUGGCCCCAGGGUGCGGGGCCAGAACCCUCACUCCGACAGCCGGCCGAGCUCUGCGCGCCGAAGUAGGGGCGGGAGGAGGGGCCGAGGGGGCGGGCCCAGGCCAGUUCCCAGUUACAAAUACAGCUGCUCCCGGGAGGCCAAGCAGGAGACUUUCGUCCCUAAACGCGCACAUCCCUCGCCCGGAGGCGCCAUGACUUCACUGUCGAGUCCCGGACCUUCCCCAGGAUCCCGGGGCGCACUCGGCCGGCUGUUUGGUGGCCUGAGUGGGGGAUACGGCCGCGAUCCGCGAGGUGACCUCGCGAUCCCGCUCCCUCUUUGGCUCGGCCUGGCCAAAAUCCACCAGGCGAAAUACCAGAGGCAGUUUCGACCCUUCUGAAAGGGAACGAGGCGCUGGAAGGUCGAAGAGUCUCUCUCCUCCUGGAAGGUGAAGAAGUUGGGGAGAUGAAGGUGUAAGAGCGGCCUAGAGGGCCUUGGGGCCAGGAUCUCGCACCCCACCCAUAGCCCCGAGUUUGCACUUGCAUACCUCCUCCCCAUGCAGACCCAGGAGGUCGCGCACGUCCGAGCUCAGGCUUAAGCUGAGUCUCCUGACUGUGCAUGGAACGUACCCGAAUACACACGGGAGAAUUAGAGGAACGUUAACAGCAGAAGUGAGGAAAAACGUGUCCACAGACAGAAUUAUUAGAAUGGACGGGUGCGUACCCAGUUGUCCAGAUGCAGACGAAAGCGGCAGUGCCCGCGCAGAGUGACCCCAGCCACGCGAGCAGAUGUGCAGGAAGCCACAGGCGGGGAGGGCGGCGAAGGAGGAUGCAGGCUGGGAGGCCAACAGUUUCCUGCCAGAGGGAAGUUGGCUCCCGAAGGAGACUUUGUUGAGGCGACUGGGUAAAAGGUUUCAGGUGAAGUCCUGGAGACUAGAAAGAGCACCUCAUCCACCCCAAAGCCCACCCAUUCACCCUCCUCUCAGCUGGCCUGGAGACACCCGGAAGAGGGCAAUCCAGGAAAGACUCAGUUUGCCUGGGAUUUAGUUAUUAUUAUUGGUUUAGGAGAUUGUGUUCUGAAGGGGGUGGGGUGUAGAGCAUAGAUGUCCUCACUCAAUGCCCGGGGAUUCCUGAUUCUUAAGGAGAACGUUCAGCUCUAACCAGGGCUCAAGAAGCUGGCGGGUUCUUAUUUCGCUCCUUUUAUCCCAAAUUUAACCGUUGAAAGAACCUUAGCUCAGCUGCACACCCGCCUGCCCUAGCUUCCAUCACACUACCCUGCAUUGCAAAUAAGCCUGCAAAAGAACACUCCAGAGCAAGCUGAAUUAUUUGGUUUAUUGAACUAAUUUUCUUUGUGAGAUAUUGGGAAGUUGUUACCCCGUACUCCCUGGUCCCAGACAGAGCUCAGUAUCCUGGCCAAGCUGGGGAUUUGCAAAGACAGAUUCCCAGAGUGGCUCUCCCGAAAGGCCUGAGCAAGUGCACAGGCUUGUUUGUACUUUCAGCUCAGUUUAUCUGCCCAGACCUAGGGAACUUUCUAGACAGUAGCCACGAUGGUUUUCCUGCAGAAGAGCCAGGCACACUGGAUGCAAUGGUGCCCUCCCUUCCACUUGGCCUCCUCCCCAACUCUCUUUCUGAAAGUAGAGGGUAAGUUUGGGAAGAUUCUUUCAGACAAAAAAAGAAAAAAAGAGGACUUUCUGGGCCAGCAAGUCGGAUGAUCACCCUCCAAGGGGCAGAGGAAGGUAUGUCUUGUGAAGAAGAGAUGAACCAUCCGGAAAACACGGCAGGAGAACAUGGCUGAGCAGAUGUAGAUGCCCUAGAAACGGAGGGGGUGUGGGGGGUGAGGAGGGAAGAAUUUCUUCCUCUUGGGGGCAAACACUGUAUCCUUUUCCUCCCCCAAAGAUACACUUCAUUCCUUAAUUUUAGCAAGAGUUUGUUCUUGUAGAUGUUUUGAACAAUAAAAAGCGAAAAUCCCUUUAGACUCGAUUAAUCUUCCUUAGAAGGGCAGUUUCUUCCAAGACCUUUUUCUUUCCCCAGGUUUCUUUUUCCUUAUUCCCUAAGAGUCCACCUGCUGAUGCACAAAGAGGUGUGACAGCAAGAGAGACAAAUAAGGAGACUGUCACUCCCAAACCCGAAGUGUAACUUCCAUCCUCUGUUGCUGAGAUUCAGGGCACAAAAAGUGAAGCUCUUUCCUUGGGGCCAUUUCUCUCCACUUUGGGUGGUUUAUUUAGAGCCUGUCCAAACAAUAAAUAACAAUCAGCAUUUUAGAUUUGGAGAUGUUUGUUAUUACCAAUUAAUUCUUAAAACUCCAUCUGAUUUCUAAGACUGCGUGUCCAUAGCUAAGCUCAUUGCAACAUUUAUCACUCAAGCAGAAAAGCAGCUCGUUGUCUCAUAGCCCCAAACGCCAGUGUACAGUGACUGGAGCAAUUUUUUUCCUCCGUGUUUCCUAAACGCCCUUGUCACCUCUGCCCGAGCCACAGGGCUCAGGGCAAAACCGGGAAGGUUUGUGAGUCUCUUGAUUCGGGCGCACUGUGUUAGCUUUUUUGUUGUGAGGAAUUCUUAGUGAUUGCGUGUUUUCCUUUUUUUUUUUUUGGCCCAAAACGAGCCGACUAGAGUUGCCCGCGUCUUCCUCAGCAGACGCCCGCCGCCUAGAUAGA
This is a long non-coding RNA of Equus caballus (horse), 3305 nucleotides long. RefSeq lists it as uncharacterized. NCBI's taxonomy places the organism in Eukaryota, Metazoa, Chordata, Mammalia, Perissodactyla, Equidae. The record is from RefSeq and is a predicted model, not a curated record.